AGUUAAUUAAUCUAAAUAAGAUUGUUAUUUUGAAAAUAAUAUAUAGAAAAUUAAAUUUCUAUUAACUU
Molecule: transfer RNA, 68 nt
Filed under: Lepidopsocidae sp. RS-2001
Lineage: Eukaryota; Metazoa; Arthropoda; Insecta; Psocodea; Lepidopsocidae
Description: tRNA-Ser
Source: RNAcentral